Molecule: ribosomal RNA, 2893 nt
Filed under: Escherichia coli
Lineage: Bacteria; Pseudomonadati; Pseudomonadota; Gammaproteobacteria; Enterobacterales; Enterobacteriaceae
Description: bacterial LSU rRNA
Rfam family: Bacterial large subunit ribosomal RNA
Source: RNAcentral
ACUAAGCGUACACGGUGGAUGCCCUGGCAGUCAGAGGCGAUGAAGGACGUGCUAAUCUGCGAUAAGCGUCGGUAAGGUGAUAUGAACCGUUAUAACCGGCGAUUUCCGAAUGGGGAAACCCAGUGUGUUUCGACACACUAUCAUUAACUGAAUCCAUAGGUUAAUGAGGCGAACCGGGGGAACUGAAACAUCUAAGUACCCCGAGGAAAAGAAAUCAACCGAGAUUCCCCCAGUAGCGGCGAGCGAACGGGGAGCAGCCCAGAGCCUGAAUCAGUAUGUGUGUUAGUGGAAGCGUCUGGAAAGGCGCGCGAUACAGGGUGACAGCCCCGUACACAAAAAUGCACAUGCUGUGAGCUCGAUGAGUAGGGCGGGACACGUGGUAUCCUGUCUGAAUAUGGGGGGACCAUCCUCCAAGGCUAAAUACUCCUGACUGACCGAUAGUGAACCAGUACCGUGAGGGAAAGGCGAAAAGAACCCCGGCGAGGGGAGUGAAAAAGAACCUGAAACCGUGUACGUACAAGCAGUGGGAGCACGCUUAGGCGUGUGACUGCGUACCUUUUGUAUAAUGGGUCAGCGACUUAUAUUCUGUAGCAAGGUUAACCGAAUAGGGGAGCCGAAGGGAAACCGAGUCUUAACUGGGCGUUAAGUUGCAGGGUAUAGACCCGAAACCCGGUGAUCUAGCCAUGGGCAGGUUGAAGGUUGGGUAACACUAACUGGAGGACCGAACCGACUAAUGUUGAAAAAUUAGCGGAUGACUUGUGGCUGGGGGUGAAAGGCCAAUCAAACCGGGAGAUAGCUGGUUCUCCCCGAAAGCUAUUUAGGUAGCGCCUCGUGAAUUCAUCUCCGGGGGUAGAGCACUGUUUCGGCAAGGGGGUCAUCCCGACUUACCAACCCGAUGCAAACUGCGAAUACCGGAGAAUGUUAUCACGGGAGACACACGGCGGGUGCUAACGUCCGUCGUGAAGAGGGAAACAACCCAGACCGCCAGCUAAGGUCCCAAAGUCAUGGUUAAGUGGGAAACGAUGUGGGAAGGCCCAGACAGCCAGGAUGUUGGCUUAGAAGCAGCCAUCAUUUAAAGAAAGCGUAAUAGCUCACUGGUCGAGUCGGCCUGCGCGGAAGAUGUAACGGGGCUAAACCAUGCACCGAAGCUGCGGCAGCGACGCUGAUGCGUUGUUGGGUAGGGGAGCGUUCUGUAAGCCUGCGAAGGUGUGCUGUGAGGCAUGCUGGAGGUAUCAGAAGUGCGAAUGCUGACAUAAGUAACGAUAAAGCGGGUGAAAAGCCCGCUCGCCGGAAGACCAAGGGUUCCUGUCCAACGUUAAUCGGGGCAGGGUGAGUCGACCCCUAAGGCGAGGCCGAAAGGCGUAGUCGAUGGGAAACAGGUUAAUAUUCCUGUACUUGGUGUUACUGCGAAGGGGGGACGGAGAAGGCUAUGUUGGCCGGGCGACGGUUGUCCCGGUUUAAGCGUGUAGGCUGGUUUUCCAGGCAAAUCCGGAAAAUCAAGGCUGAGGCGUGAUGACGAGGCACUACGGUGCUGAAGCAACAAAUGCCCUGCUUCCAGGAAAAGCCUCUAAGCAUCAGGUAACAUCAAAUCGUACCCCAAACCGACACAGGUGGUCAGGUAGAGAAUACCAAGGCGCUUGAGAGAACUCGGGUGAAGGAACUAGGCAAAAUGGUGCCGUAACUUCGGGAGAAGGCACGCUGAUAUGUAGGUGAAGUCCCUCGCGGAUGGAGCUGAAAUCAGUCGAAGAUACCAGCUGGCUGCAACUGUUUAUUAAAAACACAGCACUGUGCAAACACGAAAGUGGACGUAUACGGUGUGACGCCUGCCCGGUGCCGGAAGGUUAAUUGAUGGGGUUAGCGCAAGCGAAGCUCUUGAUCGAAGCCCCGGUAAACGGCGGCCGUAACUAUAACGGUCCUAAGGUAGCGAAAUUCCUUGUCGGGUAAGUUCCGACCUGCACGAAUGGCGUAAUGAUGGCCAGGCUGUCUCCACCCGAGACUCAGUGAAAUUGAACUCGCUGUGAAGAUGCAGUGUACCCGCGGCAAGACGGAAAGACCCCGUGAACCUUUACUAUAGCUUGACACUGAACAUUGAGCCUUGAUGUGUAGGAUAGGUGGGAGGCUUUGAAGUGUGGACGCCAGUCUGCAUGGAGCCGACCUUGAAAUACCACCCUUUAAUGUUUGAUGUUCUAACGUUGACCCGUAAUCCGGGUUGCGGACAGUGUCUGGUGGGUAGUUUGACUGGGGCGGUCUCCUCCUAAAGAGUAACGGAGGAGCACGAAGGUUGGCUAAUCCUGGUCGGACAUCAGGAGGUUAGUGCAAUGGCAUAAGCCAGCUUGACUGCGAGCGUGACGGCGCGAGCAGGUGCGAAAGCAGGUCAUAGUGAUCCGGUGGUUCUGAAUGGAAGGGCCAUCGCUCAACGGAUAAAAGGUACUCCGGGGAUAACAGGCUGAUACCGCCCAAGAGUUCAUAUCGACGGCGGUGUUUGGCACCUCGAUGUCGGCUCAUCACAUCCUGGGGCUGAAGUAGGUCCCAAGGGUAUGGCUGUUCGCCAUUUAAAGUGGUACGCGAGCUGGGUUUAGAACGUCGUGAGACAGUUCGGUCCCUAUCUGCCGUGGGCGCUGGAGAACUGAGGGGGGCUGCUCCUAGUACGAGAGGACCGGAGUGGACGCAUCACUGGUGUUCGGGUUGUCAUGCCAAUGGCACUGCCCGGUAGCUAAAUGCGGAAGAGAUAAGUGCUGAAAGCAUCUAAGCACGAAACUUGCCCCGAGAUGAGUUCUCCCUGACUCCUUGAGAGUCCUGAAGGAACGUUGAAGACGACGACGUUGAUAGGCCGGGUGUGUAAGCGCAGCGAUGCGUUGAGCUAACCGGUACUAAUGAACCGUGAGGCUUAACC